RNAcentral lists this long non-coding RNA (488 nucleotides) under Gossypium raimondii (Peruvian cotton). RNAcentral describes it as "long non-coding RNA (GRAI_LNC004100)". Lineage: Eukaryota; Viridiplantae; Streptophyta; Magnoliopsida; Malvales; Malvaceae. The record is from RNAcentral.
UGGGGGCUGGUCGUGGGGGAAAAAUGGGGAAGGGGAAGGGUGUGGGGGUGCGACUGUGAUGGGGAAGAGGAGAGGGGUGCGAGGGGAAGAAAAGCUAAGGGGUGUGGUGGUCGGUGCGAGGGAAAGGAAAGGGGAGAGGGUACGGGUUGACGGUGUGAGGUGAGGGUGAGGGUGUUGGAUUUGUGUGAUUAGGUGAAAGGGAAGGGGUUAGGGUGUGAGGGCGCCAAUGGUGGUAUAGUGAUAGGGGAAGGUUGUAUGGACGGUGGUCGGAAGGCGUGGGAGUCGGUCAACGAUGAAAAGUAGAGCUGCAGUUAGGUUGGGGAUAGUUCAGGAAGAAGACAAAAAAAAAGAAAAGAAAGGGGGUAUUAAGAUUUUACAGAAGACACGAUCGUGUUUAGGCCCGUGUUGGGCCACACGGCCGUGUGGGGUGUUCUCAGCUCAUGUGUGAUUUGAAACUCAAGCCCAAUCUUUACACAGCUUCGGACACG